GGAGAGUAGAGGAAAGACAGGAGAUGGUUGUUGGCAAGGGCAGGGCGACUGUCCGGCCGAGGCCCAACGUGCUGGGCUGGGGGGUGGGCGGUGCCCACUUGAAGUUCAAGGUCAUAAACUUAACUGGAGCCAAUCCAAAUCCACUGCCCAAGCAAAAGCUUAUCUAAGAAAAAGAAAAAUAACUCGAAGCCUCCAAGACACAUAAAAUCAAGAAUGGACUGACAACGGUGAAGAAGGGUAGAGCUUUUCAGAAAGAUGACCCUCGAUUCAGGGCUUAGCCAUUCUUGUACAUGGAGCCAAGUUCAUUUUACCCGCAACUGACUUACGAGUGUCUCAUAACUCUGGACUCGUAACUGACACCACAAAAGCCCGUUCAAUGUCCAGUUGCUGGGAUGAGCCUAGUGGACAAAACGUCAAGCCAAUGGCAUGAGGACUGUGGUUUCAAUCAAGACCUGUCCCCCCAGAGCAGGGCUGCCCCAGCCCAUCCAUCUGGUAUCUCCGAGUCUCGGCAUCUUCUCUGAAAAUGAGAAUCAGAAGGUGUGUGAGCAAAGUUUGUUGUGUUAAUCGAAAAUAUGUUAAUUUUCUGCAUUUCAAUAACUUCAAGCUUAGCCUGAGAACCUUCCAAGCUGUAGAAAACCUCCUUGACUAAGAGUCCACCUGCACAAGGACCUCCGCCUUCUGAACACAAACGAGCUGGAAUAGACCAUAAAGAAGGAGGGGGACCCUGGGGCCAGGAAGCUGGUCCUUCACAAGUAGGUCAGUGAUGGGGAUGCAGCUGGGGGCACAUGACACGAUGACAUUUCAUCUGGGUCUGAAAUACUCAGGCCCAGGCCCCCGAGAGUCCUGCAAACAGCGAAUCAGAAGGACCGCAGAGACUGAACAGGUGGCUCUUGGCUGCUUGGAUGAGGGAGGGGAGAGGAGAGAGAAGAUGCUGGGGGCCACCCCAGGGGCCCUGCGCUGGAGACAGGUCCCGGGGCCCAGACUGUCUCACCCGAGAUGCAUCUUCCAUAACCUCCUUGGCAAGUCAGUCCUGAGCAUGAGCCUAGAGAAACCCCUUCACCAGGCCUGCCGUGGAGAAGGCCCUUCAAAGCCUCCCUCAGAAGAACGAGAAGCAUCCAAUGCUCCAUCAGUGGUGCCAUUACUAAUCAAAUUUAAAAGGAUUAAUGAGGGACCUCCCGUCAUGGCGCAGCGGACACGAAUCCGACUAGGAACCGUAAGGUUGUCGGUUCGAUCCCAGGCCCCGCUCAAUGGGUUAAGGAUCCAGCGUUGCCAUGAGCUGUGGUGUAGGUCGUGGACGCGGCUUGAAUCUGGCGUUACUGUGGCUGUGCCACAAGCUGACAGCUAUAGCUCCGAUAAGACCCCGAGUCUGGGAACCUCCACAUGCUGCAAGUGUGGCCCUAAAAAGACAAAAAGGCUAAAAUAAAAUAAAAAUAAAACAAAAUAAAAUAAAAAGUUUAAAAUAAAGUAGGAAAGCCUCUUGGAGGAAAGAAUGAAAGAUCUGUGUUAUAGUGACAAUGACAGAAAUGAAAAGCAUUUUGCCAAGAUUUUGCACCUGUGACAAGCCAGGCCAAGUCACAGACUUCGAAAAGAAUGGGCUCCUUUGGACGGGCGUGUCUGCACACCGAGGUCUAACCACUGGGGCAGUUCUACCCUAUUAGGUGAAGAAGAAACCCCCUCAUCUUGUUGUGGCUUGUGCCGCCCUGCAGGGCUGGGAUUGGGCAGAGAAAGCCUGUGUUUACGUGCGACUUUAAUUUGAUUUACUGUCCCUGACAAGCCCGCCUGAACCCAGCGCUCUGUCUCAGCAGGGUCCCUGCCUCGCCUCUCCUGCUCUGCAAGAACUCGAAAGCAGGAGCUGGCAGGUGGAUGCCGAGGGGGACUUCGCCUCCCUUCAUGCUUGCCCAGGGCAAGUGGAACCAAGCCCGACUGCUUCAGAACCUUUCCUGGGCACGGGCUAAAGGCGCUUGGUGUCACGGUGUCACUGGAGGUGGCCUGAGGGGCAGACAGAUUCACCAGCGAUGGCUGCAUCUUGGGAGCUCAGCUCUGUGAAGCGGCAGUGUCAGCCCCGUGCGAGCUCCCCGCCAUCUGGGGAGGGGACACUGUGCUUGGAAAGUCAGAAGACAGGAAAGCAUCUGCGCCCUCCUCCUCCCGAGGCCCUCAGUGUCCUGCCUCCUCUCUGAGGCUGUCUGUGUUCAAACCUGCCCUGGGCCCUGUCACCGGAACAAAAGAUGGAAUUUCGCAUUUCUACCUCCUCAUUUCCUAGAAUUUCAGCUGCCUUCAUGGUUCUCC
Molecule: long non-coding RNA, 2286 nt
Filed under: Sus scrofa (pig)
Lineage: Eukaryota; Metazoa; Chordata; Mammalia; Artiodactyla; Suidae
Description: lncRNA (ENSSSCG00055030823.1)
Source: RNAcentral